Long non-coding RNA from Papaver somniferum (opium poppy), 663 nucleotides. RefSeq lists it as uncharacterized. The transcript is spliced from 4 exons. The record is from RefSeq and is a predicted model, not a curated record. Lineage: Eukaryota; Viridiplantae; Streptophyta; Magnoliopsida; Ranunculales; Papaveraceae.
UCAAGUCGUGGCUUGUAAACCUCGCAGAAGACCACGAUCCCUAUCUCUGAUGAGAUAAUUCCCCAGUUCAUCCAGUUCCUCCCACCUCCCUUAACUCUCCUCUUUCUUCGAUUACGGUUGCUAUAAAAACAAAUGAUGCUUUGAAACCGUAUACACAGAAAAGACAAUAUUUCAAAUUUGGAAGAAGGAAAUCCAUCAAUGUCUUCAUUCUCUGCAAGACAUCAUCGAUUUUAUCUGCACAAGCUGGUCUUCUUGGAUUUCACUCAUUCUUUUAAGUGGUUGUGGUUGCUGCUACUUUGUUGCUGUACAUUCAAGUACGAAUGGUGGAGCGGGUGGAAAUAUUUUCAGGGUUCUUGAAAGUCAUACAGGGGGUGGAGAGUUGGGAGAGGCGACAAAGAGGAAUAGGAAGCUGCACAUCAGAUUUUUCUGCUGCUACAGGGAAGAAGAUCCUAAAGAACAUAAAACCGUAUAAAACUGCCGUUUUAAGGGUCGCAUAUUUAACAACUUGUAACGGCCAGUUUCUAACGAUUACCUUCAGUUUGUAACAAUUAUUGUAACGGUGAUCUCUGUAACGCCUUUUCAGUGUUGCGAAUUGCCUGAGUUAGAUUUUCCUCUUUGUAAACACCUAUUGAGCAAUAAAAAAUUUCUUUGAGUGUGUUUUCA